This 533-nucleotide ribosomal RNA is filed under the name uncultured bacterium. Its description in RNAcentral is "bacterial SSU rRNA". It matches the Rfam family "Bacterial small subunit ribosomal RNA", at positions 777 to 1304 of the family's 1533-position model. The record is from RNAcentral.
AAUAGAUACCCGGGUAGUCCACGCCGUAAACCGAUGAGUGCUAGGUGUUAGGGGGUUUCCGUCCCCUUAGGUGCUGCAGCUAACGCAUUAAGCACCCCCGCCUAGGGAGUACGGUCGCAAGACUGAAACUCAAAGGAAUUGACGGGGGCCCGCACAAGCGGUGGAGCAUGUGGUUUAAUUCGAAGCAACGCGAAGAACCUUACCAGGUCUUGACAUCCCGCUGACCGCCAUGGAGACAUGGCUUUCCCCUUCGGGGACAGCGGUGACAGGUGGUGCAUGGUUGUCGUCAGCUCGUAUCGUGAGAUGUUGGGUUAAGUCCCGCAACGAGCGCAACCCUUGUCCUUAGUUGCCAUCAUUCAGUUGGGCACUCUAAGGAGACUGCCGUACAAAUACGGAGGAAGGUGGGGAUGACGUCAAAUCAUCAUGCCCCUUAUGACCUGGGCUACACACGUGCUACAAUGGGUGGUACAAAGGGCAGCAAACCCGCGAGGGGGAGCGAAUCCCAAAAAGCCACUCUCAGUUCGGAUUGCAGG